Molecule: ribosomal RNA, 468 nt
Filed under: uncultured bacterium
Lineage: Bacteria
Description: partial 16S ribosomal RNA
Rfam family: Bacterial small subunit ribosomal RNA
Source: RNAcentral
GACGAACGCUGGCGGCGUGCUUAACACAUGCAAGUCGAACGGAAAGGCCCUGCGUUUGUGGGGUGCUCGAGUGGCGAACGGGUGAGUAACACGUGAGUAACCUGCCCUUGACUUUGGGAUAACUUCAGGAAACUGGGGCUCAUACCGGAUAGGAGCUCCUGCUGCAUGGUGGGGGUUGGAAAGUUUCGGCUGUUGGGGCUGGACUCGCGGCUUAUCAGCUUGUUGGUGGGGUAGUGGCUUACCAAGGCUUUGACGGGUAGGCGGCCUGAGAGGGUGACCGGCCACAUGGGGACUGAGAUACGGCCCAGACUCCUACGGGAGGCAGCAGUGGGGAAUAUGGCACAAUGGGCGGAAGCCUGAUGCAGCAACGCCGCGUGCGUGAUGACGGCCUUCGGGUUGUAAACCGCUUUCGCAUGUGACGAAGCGGGAGUGACGGUAAUGGGUAAAGAAGCACCGGCUAACUACGUG